UAGAUAUCACAUAGAACACCGAUCGCGAAGGCAGGUGACCAACUAUAUACUGACGCUGAUGGACGAAAGCGUGGGUAGCGAACGGGAUUAGAUACCCCGGUAGUCCACGCCGUAAACGAUGGAUACUAGCUGUCGGGACUUCGGUCUCGGCGGCCAAGCGAAAGUGAUAAGUAUCCCACCUGGGGAGUACGUUCGCAAGAAUGAAACUCAAAGGAAUUGACGGGGGCCCGCACAAGCGGUGGAGCAUGUGGUUUAAUUCGAUGAUACGCGAGGAACCUUACCAGGGCUUAAAUGCGGGCUGCAUGGGACAGAGACGUCCCUUUCUUCGGACCGCCCGCAAGGUGCUGCAUGGUUGUCGUCAGCUCGUGCCGUGAGGUGUCAGGUUAAGUCCUAUAACGAGCGCAACCCCUACCGUUAGUUGCCAGCAAGUAAAGUUGGGGACUCUAACGGGACUGCCGGUGCAAACCGUGAGGAAGGUGGGGACGACGUCAAAUCAUCACGGCCCUUACGUCCUGGGCCACACACGUGCUACAAUGGCCGGUACAGAGGGAAGCCACCCCGCAAGGGGGCGCGGAUCUACAAAGCCGGUCACAGUUCGGAUCGGGGUCUGCAACUCGACCCCGUGAAGCUGGAAUCGCUAGUAAUCGGAUAUCAGCCAUGAUCCGGUGAAUACGUUCCCGGGCCUUGUACACACCGCCCA
This 700-nucleotide ribosomal RNA is filed under the name uncultured Bacteroidota bacterium. Its description in RNAcentral is "bacterial SSU rRNA". It matches the Rfam family "Bacterial small subunit ribosomal RNA", at positions 691 to 1396 of the family's 1533-position model. Lineage: Bacteria; Pseudomonadati; Bacteroidota. The record is from RNAcentral.